This 272-nucleotide ribosomal RNA is filed under the name uncultured prokaryote. Its description in RNAcentral is "partial 16S ribosomal RNA". It matches the Rfam family "Bacterial small subunit ribosomal RNA", at positions 524 to 796 of the family's 1533-position model. The record is from RNAcentral.
UACGAAGGGUGCAAGCGUUACUCGGAAUUACUGGGCGUAAAGCGUGCGUAGGUGGUGUUUUAAGUCUGAUGUGAAAGCCCUGGGCUCAACCUGGGAAUGGCAUUGGAAACUGGAUCACUGGAGUGCGGUAGAGGAUGGCGGAAUUCCCGGUGUAGCAGUGAAAUGCGUAGAGAUCGGGAGGAACAUCCGUGGCGAAGGCGGCCAUCUGGACCAGCACUGACACUGAGGCACGAAAGCGUGGGGAGCAAACAGGAUUAGAUACCCUGUAGUCC